AUAAUGACUUUUGGCGAACCGGGUUAUAUAGAUAUACUGAUUUUUUAAGUUAUUUAAGAAAACACUAUUACUUGUAGUCAUAUGUCGUUUCUUUCUCUUCAAUUCUCAUAGGAAAGUCACCUUCACUAUACCAUAUAGAUAAUACUUAUGCAAUUGUCUGUUUUAUUGUUUGUAUUUGACCACGCCAUAACCAUUUAAUGUUAAUAUGCAUGUGCAAACAAAUAUUGUCUAUUGUCUUUAAAAUUAAUUGGCUGACAAUGCUUAUAUAUAAUAUAAUAUAUAAAGUGCAUUGCUGUGGAAGCAUUUGUUUUGACAACAAACAUCUAUAAAAGUGAAAUAACUUCGUCAACAGUGUCAAUUUAUAACCUGUAGUUCGGGAGAAACUCGGUCAUUUAUAAAGACAUGGGAGUGGUUGAUGAUUUUAAGGGAGCAUCUAUUUUUUGUAAAGUAGCCUUUAUUUUAUUAUUAAUUGCUACUUUAUUUACAUGCAUUUCCUAUACGACAGCUGAUUGGGUUUAUAAUGAUCUAGGUGCUAAUCCAUUACAUUGGGGUUUAUGGAGAAUAUGUGGAGAAACAGAAGUGCCAGUAGGAACGGGAUGUGAAUCUAUAGAUGGCUGGGCGAAUGAUUGGUAUGGUGUAGUUCAAGCAUUUGUGACCUUUGGAUUUUUUGGCAUUUUAGUUUCCUUUUUCUUAGUUGUACUGUACAUAUUUGUUGGCAAAUGUCAGAAAAAUGGAGAAGUUGCCAUUGCAGUUGCUAUUAUUUGUAUUGCCACAGGGGUAUUUUAUUUGAUCGGCAUUAUAAUUUUUGGUGCCAAAGUGAACGACAAGUGGGUAGAAGAUGCCACUACUGACUAUAAGUUUGGUUAUUCAUUUGCUCUAUCAAUCAUCGCAUUUUUGCUAGAAAUUGGUGCUGGGGUGUUGAUGAUUGUGGAAGGUAAAGGCGGAGGAGGAGGAGGAGGAGGAGGAACUAAACCAUCCGCAUAAUUUUUUACACUUGCUUCUAAUCAAUUAUUACAGUAAGAAGCGCCAUAACUUAUGUUUAUAUUGUAUUGAUGGUCAUUUGGGGGGCUUCAAAUGUAUUUGAUUUCAAUCGGUAUUUUAAGAAUAUCUUCAGAUUGGAUAUGAAAUGUCUAUUUGCAUGUUAGCUGAUUUGUUUAUGUUAAACAGAUUUUCUUAAAUAUCUUAACAAAUUUGUUUUUAUCUAUAUAUGUAGACAAAGUUUGAUUUAUGUAUACUGAAUAUAAUGAUACAUAACUGGUAUCCUAAUUUUGGGUUUCGUUCUUUGUUUUAAUAUUUAUCAGACCGUGAGGUGCACUAUAAACCCUGUAUAAAAUAUUCACAUCUUUGUCCUUUGUUUUCAUUUCUUUAUCUUUUUCAAUAAAAGAUUGCCAAGUUUCUAAGCUUUUUCUUCUAGGAAAUAACAUAGCUACAGUUUUCCUUAGAGAAAUUUAAAAACCACACGAAGAACACCAUUUACAUAUAACAUCUAGUCUUGUUGUAUUUUUUCUGUAAAAAACUUAAUGCAUGCACCUGAUUUCCAUAUAGUACCGUCAUCUGCAAAUUGUGAAAUUUCACAAUCUGGUAAACAAUUGAUAAAUCAUUGACAAUAAUAUUGAAUCAAGUGAACUAAUACAUAUAAUUGUUAACUUUUUAUACAUUGUGACUUGGAUGGAGAGUUGUCUCAUUGGCACUCAUACCACAUCUUCUUAUUUAUAGUACAAAUCUUUUAAAGGGUACGUCUCCCAGUUUGUUCAACUCCAUGCAAUACACGCAAUGGUCGAUGAAGUUAUGUAUCAACUCGUAUUUAGUCUACUACCCAAUAAACAACAUCAACUCUAACUAGCACCACAGAUACAGACUUUGAGACAGCAACCCGUUAUUUCGCCCAACGAACAUUAGACAGCAAUACCUUGAGAAGCUGCCUUUUCUAUUACACUCAAUAAAUGUUUCUCAGAUACUAUCUUAAAGCAAUGAGCUGUCUAUAUUUGGUGUAUGGCAUGAUUUUAAAGUGUACAGGGUUCAUCUGACCAUAUUACAGACUUAUAAUAUAUUCAAUCAUGAUAUCAUAGGUAAAGCAGGCAAGAUAAUCAAGCGUGUACACGUUUGUUUAUUAAUUAAACCGUGUAUGCUUAAUUUAAAGAUUUUAAUUUCUUUGUAUAAAACUAUAAAUGUGCCCACAAUUUAAAGCAUUUUUCCUGUACCUUCCUUUUUUGAUUUUUCAGUGUAUUUUUCAAUUAUUGCUUAAUAUUGUUGAUUAUUCUAUAGGAUUGUAAAAUAGUUUCGUAGUUAAAAUCACUGUUUUGUAUAAUAGUGCUCUUUGAUGUAAUAAAUAUAUAUUUUUUUCAAUAAUUCCAAUUCAUACUUUUUUCUAACGAUCAUUCAAAAGUUAAACUGAGCUGGAUUCACUGUAACUCCAUUUACAGGUAAUUUCCUUAGUCCCUAUUGCCAAAAAAUCACGUUUCUCCAACAAGAAAUUAUUUGCCAGUAUACAAAAAUAUCAAAUGUUGGAGAAACGUGAACACACCGUCCUUUGGUCUUUAUGGAAAGGUGUCUCGUUGGCAAUCCUACCAUAUCUCCUUUUAAAAUGUAUUUUACUAACAAGUCUUUUCUAGAUGCAACACUUAUACGUGGAAAACUGAACAAUAGAAAGUAGAUUUCCUCUUAAUUUUCUGUCAUUAUAUCUAUGGUGAAAUAUGUACACAGGCUUAACAAAUUGGACGAUGGGUUGCUUUAUGAUGCUUAUGUUUGUAAUAAAAUUUUAGAUGCAGGAAACAUCAAUUGUUGGUAUUCAUCUAUAUUUAGAUAUGUACUUCAAUCACUUGAUAUACAAAAUUUGAAUACAAAAGUCAAUAAACUUAUUAAAUUGGUAAAAUGUAAACAUUGUAACAGUUUUAAAACAUUUUGGUUGGUCAAAAGAUCUGAUACCUUAUCACAAGGUAAUAGUAAAUUAGAAAACUAUUUCAACCUAAAGACUGACUUUGUAAAGGAGGCUUAUUUGUCAAUUAAAGAAUUUAAUAUAAGAAGAGCUAUAUGUAAAAUGAGAAUAAGUGCUCAUGAUCUUAGAAUUGAGAAAGAUAGAUAUAGUAAAAAAAAAUACAUAGAGAGAACUCAGCGACUAUGUGAUCACUGCUUAUCACAUGGAAUAAAUUCUAUUGAAGAUGAGACCCAUUUUACAUUAAGUUGUCCUUAACUAGUAACGAACAGAGAAAAUUAUUAUUGGAUAAAGUAAACAGUUUUCAGUGUACUAAUUUUAAAGAAUUACCCAUGGAUAAAAAAUAUUUCUUGCCUGUUCACAAAUGAGCAUUUACCAACUCUUAUGUGCCUAGGAAAUUAUAUUAUUCCGUGUUAAGAAAUAAGAUCCAGGUGGAAACAAAAUAUAUUAAUGAUAUUCGAUUAUUAUGAGAUAUGUUGUAAUAGUUAUAUAAGACACAUGAUGUGUUAGGCUCUGAUCCUGUCCAUAACAUGAUUGAAUUAUAUUAGGUUCUUGUUUUUCUUUUUUCCAAUCAUAUUGUGCAUAUUGUUGUUGUGAAAUAUGCCGUUUAUGGGUUCUUGAUUAGAUUAAUAAAAUUCUUAUCUUAUCUUA
Mytilus californianus (California mussel) is the source of this 3583-nucleotide long non-coding RNA. RefSeq lists it as uncharacterized. The record is from RefSeq and is a predicted model, not a curated record. The transcript is spliced from 3 exons. NCBI's taxonomy places the organism in Eukaryota, Metazoa, Mollusca, Bivalvia, Mytilida, Mytilidae.